UGAGAAACCCGAAAGAUCGAAUGGGGAGAUUCAUCGUCUGUGGUGUUGGCUUCCAUGCGGCAGUGAUGUGACGGUUUCGGCCGUUGUCACGCUGUCGCUGUGGUAUGUCUGGCUCCGUCGGCGUGCACUUCUCCCCUAGUAGAACGUUGCGACCCGCUGGGUGUCGAUUUAAGGGCCAAGCAGAAGCCUGUGUCGUGACUUGUCGCGUCGCAGACGUUUGGUUCCCGACCGACUGCUCGGCGGUACUCUAUGGUAUCGAGCCGCAAUCGAAUGCGUUCAGACUCGCCGCAAGCCCGAUCAUUAUUUUCGAAUCCUGGAUUACGGACCUGGUGCCGUACCUGGGGAUGGUCAGCUGUUGGUGCGCGAUGUUCUCGAACAGGCUAAACUCGAAUCAAACGAUACCUGUCAGCGACGCUAUUGCUUUGGGUACUUUCAGGACCCGUCUUGAAACACGGACCAAGGAGUCUAACAUGUGCGCGAGUCAUUGGGAAUAGCAAACCUAAAGGCGCAUUGAAAGAGAAGAUCGACCUAGCGUCGAUUGAGGGAGGAUGGGUCGCGUCGACGCGCGGCCCCGCACUCCCGGGGCGUUUCGUUGUCAUUGCGACAUGAGGCGAACCCAGAGCGUACACGUUGGGACCCGAAAGAUGGUGAACUAUGCCUGGUCAGGACGAAGUCAGGGGAAACCCUGAUGGAGGUCCGUAGCGAUUCUGACGUGCAAAUCGAUCGUCGGAACUGGGU
Molecule: ribosomal RNA, 738 nt
Filed under: Psilanteris sp. OSUC 176047
Lineage: Eukaryota; Metazoa; Arthropoda; Insecta; Hymenoptera; Scelionidae
Description: partial 28S ribosomal RNA
Rfam family: Eukaryotic large subunit ribosomal RNA
Source: RNAcentral